ACUCCUACGGGAGGCAGCAGUAAGGAAUAUUGGUCAAUGGACGCAAGUCUGAACCAGCCAUGCCGCGUGAAGGAUGAAGGUCCUCUGGAUUGUAAACUUCUUUUAUAUGGGGCGAAACAGCGGAUUUCUAUCUGCCUUGACGGUACCAUAUGAAUAAGCACCGGCUAACUCCGUGCCAGCAGCCGCGGUAAUACGGAGGGUGCAAGCGUUAUCCGGAUUCACUGGGUUUAAAGGGUGCGUAGGCGGGCAUGUAAGUCAGUGGUGAAAUCCUGGAGCUUAACUCCAGAACUGCCAUUGAUACUAUAUGUCUUGAAUUUCCUGGAGGUUAGCGGAAUAUGUCAUGUAGCGGUGAAAUGCUUAGAUAUGACAUAGAACACCUAUUGCGAAGGCAGCUGACUACGGGUAGAUUGACGCUGAGGCACGAAAGCGUGGGGAUCAAACAGGAUUAGAUACCCUGGUAGGCGUAGUAAAGUCGUGGGGGA
Molecule: ribosomal RNA, 482 nt
Filed under: uncultured bacterium
Lineage: Bacteria
Description: bacterial SSU rRNA
Rfam family: Bacterial small subunit ribosomal RNA
Source: RNAcentral